GUGAAUCAUCGAAUCUUUGAACGCAAAUUGCACUCUCUUCGGAGAGUAUGCCUGUUUGAGGGUCAGUAUUAAUAAAAAUCGGUGUGUUGCUUCUUUGUGACGCUCCGGAGUUUGGGUCAUCUUAAUAUAUCCUUUAGGUUUUAAGAGGCUUAAAAUUGACUUUUUUUUGCGCAUUUUAUUAGAUGUACAUAAAUUUUUUUUUUUUUUUUGGUUUUUUUAAAUUCUUAAAUUCUUAUUGGAUCAA
This 244-nucleotide unclassified non-coding RNA is filed under the name Rhizophagus sp. (in: glomeromycetes). Its description in RNAcentral is "partial contains 5.8S ribosomal RNA and internal transcribed spacer 2". The stretch from base 1 to 65 matches the Rfam family "5.8S ribosomal RNA", at positions 84 to 154 of the family's 154-position model. Lineage: Eukaryota; Fungi; Glomeromycota; Glomeromycetes; Glomerales; Glomeraceae. The record is from RNAcentral.